RNAcentral lists this ribosomal RNA (651 nucleotides) under Triticum aestivum (bread wheat). Its description in RNAcentral is "partial small subunit ribosomal RNA". Lineage: Eukaryota; Viridiplantae; Streptophyta; Magnoliopsida; Poales; Poaceae. The record is from RNAcentral.
AUGUUUCGCGACCUACGCACAGCAGUAGAACAAGAUCAGAAGGAAACUGGAAAUGAAGACGGUAACAAUGAUGCAAAUCCUUCUGAGACUGAGUCCUUUUUGAAAAACGUGAGGAAAGAGGCAAAGCGGCACCUUUACCAUGGUUGUAGCAAGUUUUCAAGGUUCUCAUUUGUGGUGAAUCUUCUUCAUUUGAAUUCAUGCCAUAGGAUCACAAAUAGUGCAUUUACUGACAUUUUGAAGCUAAUGGCUGAAGCAUUCCCUCAACCCAAUACACUCCCAAAAUCUUAUGACGAAGCAAAGAAUCUUCUAAAGGAAUUAGGCCUUGGGUAUGAGUCUAUACAUGUGUGCAUCAAUAAUUGUGUUUUGUUCAGAAAGCAAUAUGCCAAGCAUGACAACUGCCCAGUUUGUGGCAUGUCAAGGUGGAAAGACCCUGCUAGAAAGAAGAUACCACAGAAAGUUCUGAGGCAUUUUCCAUUGGUGCCUAGGCUGAAGAGGAUGUUUCUUUCCAAAAAAGCAUCAGAAGAAGCACAGUGGCACAAGCUAAAGAGGCAACCCAGUGAGAAGGAAAUGAGCCAUCCAGCUGACGGUGAUGCGUGGCAAGAUUUUGAUAAAAAAAAUAUCCAAAAUUUGCAGAAGAUGCCAGAAACAUGA